RNAcentral lists this ribosomal RNA (718 nucleotides) under uncultured eukaryote. RNAcentral describes it as "bacterial SSU rRNA". It matches the Rfam family "Eukaryotic small subunit ribosomal RNA", at positions 558 to 1402 of the family's 1831-position model. The record is from RNAcentral.
AUUCGCCCUUGUGCCAAGCAGCCGCGGUAAUUCCAGCUCCAAUAGCGUAUAUUAAAAUUGUUGCAGUUAAAAAGCUCCUAGUGGAUGUUAUACUACUUUUACACCAUUAACAAAUACUAUUGCUCAAGGAUCUUACUUUUCCUUAAUGGGAUGUCUGAAUAAGGUUUUUUUACUAAAACAAUGAGUGAUAGGAGAAGUGGGCGUUGCAGGUAUUCCGCAAGGAGAGGUGAAAUUCAGUGAUUUGCGGAGGACCAACUAAAGCGAAAGCAUGCAACAGUGCUUUUUUCGUUCAUCAAGAACUAAAGUCAAGGGAUCGAAGACGAUCAGAUACCGUCGUAGUCUUGACCAUAAACUAUGCCGACAAGACUGGUGUAUCUCAGAUUUUUCAAAGAUAUGCCAGUUAAAGAGAAAUCAAAGUCAUUGGGCUCUGGGGGGAGUAUGGUCGCAAGGCUGAAACUUAAAGGAAUUGACGGAAGGGCACACCAGGAGUGGAGCCUGCGGCUCAAUUCGACUCAACACGGGAAAACUUACCAGGUCCGGACAAGAAAAGGAUUGACAGAUUGAUAGCUCUUUCAUGAUUGCUUGGGUAGUGGUGCAUGGCCGUUCUUAGUUCGUGGAUUGAUUUGUCUGGUUUAUUCCGCUAACGAACAAGGUGUUAAAAAUGCAAAUAGUUACAUUAGUAGCUAGAUGCUCCAAAAUUAUGGUCGCAAGACUGAUG